UACGGAAGGUCCGAGCGUUAUCCGGAUUUAUUGGGUUUAAAGGGAGCGUAGGUGGAUUGUUAAGUCAGUUGUGAAAGUUUGCGGCUCAACCGUAAAAUUGCAGUUGAAACUGGCAGUCUUGAGUACAGUAGAGGUGGGCGGAAUUCGUGGUGUAGCGGUGAAAUGCUUAGAUAUCACGCAGAACCCCGAUUGCGAAGGCAGCAUGCCGGCUUCCGACUGACGCUGAAGCACGAAAGCGUGGGGAUCGAACAGG
RNAcentral lists this ribosomal RNA (253 nucleotides) under uncultured Bacteroides sp. Its description in RNAcentral is "partial 16S ribosomal RNA". It matches the Rfam family "Bacterial small subunit ribosomal RNA", at positions 524 to 776 of the family's 1533-position model. The record is from RNAcentral. Lineage: Bacteria; Pseudomonadati; Bacteroidota; Bacteroidia; Bacteroidales; Bacteroidaceae.